AGUGAACGCUGGCGGUAGGCCUAACACAUGCAAGUCGAACGGCAGCACAGUAAGAGCUUGCUCUUACGGGUGGCGAGUGGCGGACGGGUGAGGAAUACAUCGGAAUCUACUUUUUCGUGGGGGAUAACGUAGGGAAACUUACGCUAAUACCGCAUACGACCUACGGGUGAAAGCAGGGGAUCUUCGGACCUUGCUCGAUUGAAUGAGCCGAUGUCGGAUUAGCUAGUUGGCGGGGUAAAGGCCCACCAAGGCGACGAUCCGUAGCUGGUCUGAGAGGAUGAUCAGCCACACUGGAACUGAGACACGGUCCAGACUCCUACGGGAGGCAGCAGUGGGGAAUAUUGGACAAUGGGCGCAAGCCUGAUCAAGCCAUACCGCGUGGGUGAAGAAGGCAUUCGGGUUGUAAAGCCCUUUUGUUGGGAAAGAAAAGCAGCAGGUUAAUACCCCGCUGUUCUGACGGUACCCAAAGAAUAAGCACCGGCUAACUUCGUG
This 492-nucleotide ribosomal RNA is filed under the name uncultured bacterium. RNAcentral describes it as "partial 16S ribosomal RNA". It matches the Rfam family "Bacterial small subunit ribosomal RNA", at positions 29 to 507 of the family's 1533-position model. The record is from RNAcentral.